This 460-nucleotide ribosomal RNA is filed under the name uncultured bacterium. RNAcentral describes it as "partial 16S ribosomal RNA". It matches the Rfam family "Bacterial small subunit ribosomal RNA", at positions 338 to 795 of the family's 1533-position model. The record is from RNAcentral.
CCUACGGGAGGCAGCAGUGAGGAAUAUUGGUCAAUGGCCGUAAGGCUGAACCAGCCAAGUCGCGUGAAGGAAGAAGGAUCUAUGGUUUGUAAACUUCUUUUAUAGGGGAAUAAAGGUAUCCACGUGUGGAUAUUUGCAUGUACCCUAUGAAUAAGCAUCGGCUAACUCCGUGCCAGCAGCCGCGGUAAUACGGAGGAUGCGAGCGUUAUCCGGAUUUAGUGGGUUUAAAGGGUGCGUAGGUUGUUUUUUAAGUCAGCGGUGAAAGUUUGUGGCUCAACCAUAAAAUUGCCGUUGAAACUGGAAGACUUGAGUGUGUUUGAGGUAGGCGGAAUGCGUGGUGUAGCGGUGAAAUGCAUAGAUAUCACGCAGAACUCCGAUUGCGAAGGCAACUUACUAAGCCAUAACUGACACUGAAGCACGAAAGCAUGGGGAUCAAACAGGAUUAGAUACCCCAGUAGUC